CAAAACCCUUGAUGUCCCCCAUCUGCAAAGUCCCUUUUGCCUUGUUUAGGGGAUUAGGACAUGGGCAUCCUUGGGGGGCCGUUAUUCUGCCUGCCACAUCCUCAGGAUGGAAAUGUCUCUCUUGCAAUGGCUGCUGUGAUGAUUAAAGGGAAAAAAAAAACAUGUUAAGCCCCAGCACACAGUAGGACUCCAUGAAUGCUGGCCAAUUGGACAGAAGCAUCUAAGACGCUCAUGGUAGGUGAUUGUCACACUUUACUCUACCUGCCAUUAUGUCCCUUUAUUUAUUGGCUGACGGUCCCUCUCCUCUUAGGGAACAUCACCCCCGCCAGUGCAGGGACUGUUCUGUUCACUGCUGCAUCCCCUGUGCUGGGGAAGAGCGAAGCACACAGUAGGUGCUCAAUAUUUGCUGAAUGAAUGAGUAUUAAUUUUUUUCACCAUGAAUAAGAAGCCCUGGUCACCAGAUGGAGACUGUGCCUGUCAAAGUGUGCUCUCCCCAGGCUUCCCCAUGAGACUGUGAUGGCACAGAAAGCUGGUAUUUGUUUCACUCUGACACCCAAACAGGUGGCUCAGGAGUUGGGAUGGUUAAAGGAUUCUGUCAUCUGAGGGCAGAUUCCAGAAAGACGAGGUUCUGCUUGGUGGGCAACUUUGAAACAGGCAACUGAAGAAAUCUGGGUUCUGCCACCUGGGAGUGUGGGCACAUGAUGUGGGAUCAGGAUGUAGGAACUGAGUUCAAAAAACGGAAAAGCAUGUGGAAAAUUGAACAUCGAGUAAUCGGUCUCUAGCAGCGUGUCCAGAAGGAGGCAGGGUGGUCUUUCUGACUGUCUUCCACGCCCCCCAGAGAAUGGUCAGUGCAGGCUCCGUGAAGAAUGCCCCUCUGGGGCGUGGGCAAGAGGGGGUCUCACCAUGCUGCCUUGGAAACUGGCGCCACACCCUCUCCAGGUGCUCAAGAUGGCGCCACCCAGUUGGGUCUUUCCUGAGCAGCUCAAAUGCUACUAUUGCCUCAUGGAAGCUCCAGGAGACCCCACCCUCCACAAAUCACACAGCCCCGCCCCCGUGCUCCCACAGCCCCGGGGGAUGAAGGCCCAGCAACGAGGUGCCCAGACGUGGUGUUGAGGGCUGCCCCUACGGCCGGCAUGGCCUUUCCUGGAAGAUCUGAGGGACAGCCCCUCUGUGCAGUGUUUUGAAAAGGGAAUUUAAGACCCAGAAAAAUGGUGAUUUCUUCAUGGCCUGAUAAAAAGAACAAGAUUUGGUUCCCAUCCCAGCUCUGCCACCUCCUAGCCAUGUGACUUUGAGCAAGUCCACACAAGGCAGCGGCCUGUUUAUCAACAGGAAAGGAGGAUGGCGAGCACGUCAUGGAGCCUCGGGACCACAAGGGCCAAGGGCAUUCUGAUGUUUUCGGCCUCAUGGAAGCUGUCCAGAGCCGGUCUCCAGCACUCCAGGGCUGUAGCCACCAGGCCUGCUGGGAAGGGAAUGGACAGCUUUUCACUUUUUCUUAGCGGGGCCCUGGCUUCGGGGCCAGGAGGGGCUCCCAACUGCCUGCGGAACGGAGGCCCAGUUCCAAUCUGGCCUCUUGACAGUAAGCUCUCUCCUCGGGAAGCCCUGGCAUCCUGGGCCAUGCCUGAGGCCUUCCAGGGUGCCCCGAGUGUGGACUAGUCUUCCUCUGACCUCUCCAAACCAACUGCUCCCCUUGCUGUCAAAAUGGGGCAAACCCCACACCCUCCCAGCAGCCUUCCUGCCCCCAUCUCCUACCACAGGCUGGAAGGUCCCCGCUCUCUGGGCUCCCACACUUCUGACUCUGAACCAGGGCUACUCACGUCUGACUUGUGCGAUUUUCCUUGGGGCGGGCCCUGGGUUUGACUCCAACUGUGGGAUUACAGCGUCUGCUCAGCAUCACAGUGCAAUAAAUAUUUGCUCAAGGGCGGCAA
This is a non-coding RNA of Equus caballus (horse), 1925 nucleotides long. NCBI's taxonomy places the organism in Eukaryota, Metazoa, Chordata, Mammalia, Perissodactyla, Equidae. The record is from RefSeq and is a predicted model, not a curated record.